CAAGGUUAAAUUCUUAAAAAAAUAAAAUAAAAUCCCACCCUUGCUCCCAGUGGGUGCCCAGGCAGGCCCAGCCCCUUGCUUAGCACAUGCUGGCUCCCAUCUAGGCAUGCCAUUUUGUCCUUCCAGCUUUGUAGCAUAUUGACUCAAGUUCUCCACUGAACUCUCUCUAGUUACUUCCUUUCUGUCCUGCCCCCUACCCCCAGGCUUCCCUGUUUCAGGGUUUGAGACCAAGUGCCAAGAAGAACGUGUGGGGGUUGGGGCUUUCCAAAGGCCUUCUGUCCCCCAGAUUUCCCUCAUCUUCCAGUUAAUGUCCAUGGACCACUCCUCCUUCGGCACCCCAGACUUUCCCCUCACCUGUAUGUUAAGAGCAUGGGCUGCCUGUCCAGUCUGAUGGAGGCCUGGCAGGCAGAACUGGGCCCAUGUCUUGGGACUCUACAUGAUCAUGGGUGUGACCCAGGGUGGUAUCCCAGUUGGGGUGGCUUCAAGUUCUCAGCCACCCUGCUGUGCUCUGCCUCCAGUACUGCCCACGACCCAUUAGUUUCCCUGGCUGUGUGCCCAACUCCGUGGUGCUUCAGCAGAUGUGGCCGUCCACAGAGAUCAGCUAUCUUAGACCUCUGACCACGCUCACCUCCUAUACUGAGAACAGACUCAAGGCAAGAGGCAGAGCUGGGGGGCUCAGGGAGGGCUCCACUGUCCCCACCGUCUGCCAGAUGCCCCCUCUUGUGCCCUCUCCUCUAUAGCCAGAUGCAAGCCUGGAUGACCUAUGGCUACAGCGCCACAGGUGGUCCAAGUGGCACAGUAGGCUGAUGCAGUGGCUUCAUGGGAAGUCUGAGGAGGAAGAGGAAGAAGAGGAGGAGGAGGAGAAGGAACUGAAAAUAGACUGGAUCUCAGCUUCUCUGAGUUCACCCAGGAUGUAUUCUGACCAACAGUUAGAUUACUGGGAGGCAGAGGCUGGGGUAUGCAUCCCAGGCUGCCACAGGCAGGGUGGGCUCAGUGCCCAAAACCCAGAGAAGUGGGACUGAAGUUGCUGUCACUUCCCCUAGAGCGCCAUGGACUUGAUUGGCGAGUCCCAGAGCUUCCAUGAGGCCCCCAGGACCAAAAUCUACUUUGGCUCCCAGUACCACCAGGGGCAUUCACUCUGGGAAGAGCGCUAUGGGCAUCUGCCCAGGUUCCUGCACUCUUUCGUCAUCCAGAACUGGUUCAAAAAGCUGUUCCCCAUCUUCACCCUGGAGGUGUGGGGGGGCCUGGGAAGCUGGGAAACGUGGCCUGGGAUGGGGUGUGGGGAGAAAGCAGGAGCCUGCCUGAAUGUGAAACAGGGAGCAGGGUCUCAGCCUACCGUUCUGUAGGCCUACCCUGAGAUGGGCACAGUGGAGGGCCUGGCCUCCAUGUUGGUGGACCUGCUGGCAGAGGCCAUCUGGGAAGACCGUGUGCAUAUCCUAAAUGCACUGCUGAGACUGCUGCCUGAUGUGAGCAGUGACCUCCACAGUCGGCUGCAGAGCAACCUCUUGCACUUGCUCAACUUGGACAACCCCCCCAGCCUCCAGGUGGGUUCCUUGACACCCUCCACCCCCACCGUGUUUCUCCCACCAACCAUUGUCCCCACCUGUGCACAGGACCACAUUCAGAAGCAGUUUGUGAUGCUGGCACUGCAGCUGCUGCUGGCCUGCUCCCUGGAUUCCCGUGAUGUGGUGCUAGAGCUCAUGUCCUACUUCCUCUACUCUCCAGCUUCCGACCGGUAAGUGACACUCCUGACCCAUCCUCCCUACCAGCUGGGGAGGCUGGAAUAAGCCACAUGCAUUUGUCCUAGGCCAGAGCUCAAGAAGCUGCUGAAUGGUCUGGGCCUUCGGGACCCAGAGGGCUUCCUGUUCAAGGAGAUGAUGACCUGGGUCCAGGGCUCCAAACUUAAUUCCAAGGCCAAGCUGCGCUUAUACUGCUGCCAGAAGCUGGAGGGCAUGAUCCAGCAGCUGAAGGUCUGGUGCACAUGGCCUAGCUGGGCUUCUCCAGAGGCAGCCCUGGGGUCCCCUGGGCUACAGGGAUGCCUGCUUUGGCUUCCUGCUCAGGGGUGGGGCACCCGGUCCCUGGGGCUGGGAAUUAGGCAAAAGGGAAUUUCAGUAGCCAAGGAGCAAGGAUGCUUCUUAGACUGGCCACUUCCUCUACAGAUGGAAACUUUACAGCCAUCUACAGCUCAGUUGUCAAUGGUGCUGCCCAAAGGCUCUGAUACCUGGCCGCCUUCCUUUCCUCCCAGGGAGGACCAGUCACAGGCUUCAGCAGUCUCAGGGGCUCCUUCGAGCAUCUUCUGGCCGCAAGCCUCUCAGGCGCUCCUCCAUGUCCUGGAGCCUCCCUUGCUUGUGGUGUCCCCCACAGAAUCUAAAGCUGGAUCCCCAGAGCCCCAGGCUCACUUUUACACUGGGCAGACCAGGCGGUCGCUCUCAGAGACGCUGAAGAGCUUCUGCUCGGUGCCUGAGCCCUCCAUGCCCACUGCACCACAUGGCCUGCCACAGCCGCUGGAAAAGACCGACUGGUCGAAAUGGCAGAUGCUGGACCUGGGCUACGUCGAUGCACUCAACCACUUCUGCGAGCAGCAUCAAGUACAGCAGCAGAGUUUGAUCCAGAAGGAAACCGAACAGCCACCCCGCUCUGCAUCCCCGCGCCCUCCUGUGCCUAACACUGUGGUGGCGCCACCCAGGGAUCAAGGGUGAGUGCAGCGAGGGGGCCCCCUGGCCGGCAUGGGCAGGUGAGCAUUGUCUGUCUGACCUGACUCCUUCUCCCAGGCACUACCCCAUACUUAGACUGCAGGAAGCCAAGGCUCGGAGCUCUGGGAUGAGAAUGAAGGGUGAGUGGGCUCAAGGGUGGAGACUGGUCCCUGGUCCCACACCCUUUCCUCAUCCCAGCCUUGGCUGGUGGUCUCAUUGGCCUGCCUGCCUGCUCCCAGGCCGUGUGAUGUCACAUCUCAGCACCCACUGUGCCCGUUCACUGGACCGUUCCAUCCGGGUGCUAAAGCUGCCCCUGCCGAGAGUGGAGCUGCAGCCCUUCCCCCCAGGCUGGCCCGCACCCCCUCGUGCCCUGCCCCCGUUGCUCCUGCAGCCCACCCUGCAGCGCUACUUUCUGCCCGAAGAUGCGGAUCCUGACAGCUACAGCUGACCUGGCAGGCACGGUGGGUCCUGCGUGUCAAUCCCGCCAAGUUGAAUUGCAACAACACUUGUGUCUUCUAUGUUCCCUGGCAUAGGCCUGCA
This 3233-nucleotide long non-coding RNA is filed under the name Marmota monax (woodchuck). The record is from RNAcentral. Lineage: Eukaryota; Metazoa; Chordata; Mammalia; Rodentia; Sciuridae.